UAAGAUUCGUUUUCCCUUUUGCGGAGUCGAAUGUCCAUCCUGUAAGUCGAUUUGCUUUUUCAAGCCCUCCUUUCGGAUGAUGAGUGUUUUGGAAGUAAACCCCAAUUCACGCUUUGGUCGGUCACCUAUUAUAUACCCAGUAACCGAUAUCCCUGGUGUUCCUUCCUUUCUGCUCCCUAUUAUGACCUCGGUCCCCUAUGGAGUCAGAUUUUCCUGAGUUGAUGUACCUUUGUUAGGUCUUCCUCAGAUGAUUUGGUUGAUUGAUAUCUCUC
RNAcentral lists this long non-coding RNA (272 nucleotides) under Lathyrus oleraceus (garden pea). Its description in RNAcentral is "Pisum sativum (pea) long non-coding RNA (PSAT_LNC029319)". The record is from RNAcentral. Lineage: Eukaryota; Viridiplantae; Streptophyta; Magnoliopsida; Fabales; Fabaceae.